UGUCCGUUUCCGAUUCCAAGCUGCGUGACUACUAAAGAUAGUUUACUGUAUUAUACAUAUCGUAAAAGAAAAACUUUCGUGUGAAAGUGCAUGCUGAAAGCGAUGCUUCGAUUCUAAAUGAUACAUGCGUCCUGGUUGAUCGACCCAAGAACUAGCAGAUUGUAAAGUCGAACAAUAGAUCAUCACUCCUGAUUAUAUUCUUGACCUGUUAUCAUUCCAUGAAAAGGAAGCUACAUGAGUUUAAUUUUUGUUGAAAGUUGAAAACACUAGUAAAAGAAUUCGCAAUAGAACUUUUGGAAAAAUUUCAAAUCGAUUGAAUAAUGAAAGCAAAAGCUGCACAAACACCGCUCACUGAUAAGUUGAAUUACUAAUUGCUUCCAAAUCCACUAUGUUACAAAAGUUCAACCUGGAACACUGAAUUCUUCCCAAUUGUUCCACAGCUUGUAAACAAAAAUGGACAACUUGGGAAGAGGAGAUACGAUUAUUUGAGCCUCGCGCCUCGCUUUUAUAGUUGUUGCAUUAUCAUAUCCACAAUACUUUCUCAUCUACAACUAUAAUUAUAAAUGUCGAGUAAUUUCUUCCUUGAGGCACUCAUAUUGAUUUUUGAAAUUGGAUUUCUUUAUAAUGAACUGAACAGAAAGUUCAGUCUUCGUGAGUGUUUUUAAAAAAAUUCAUGAUUUAGUAUUACUUUAUGGUAUUACCCUAUUAUUAUUAUUAUAUAUAUAUAUAUAUACUUAUUGGAUGCUAUGUACUGCUUUUGCAGGGAUAUAAAAUACUACUCCUUAAUCAUCAACAUUUAAACAUUAAUGUAAAGGUUAACAAGAAAUAAAUAAAAGUUUUUGUUCAAGCGUA
Long non-coding RNA from Megalopta genalis, 852 nucleotides. RefSeq lists it as uncharacterized. The record is from RefSeq and is a predicted model, not a curated record. NCBI's taxonomy places the organism in Eukaryota, Metazoa, Arthropoda, Insecta, Hymenoptera, Halictidae.